AAAAGGGUUAAAGAAUGACGCCCCUGAUUGUAUAAUAGGCCCCUUCGUAGUAUUUGUUUGUUGGUUUGCCAUCAUCUUGUAAUCUUCUUAUUUUGUUUUUCAACUUGAUAUUGCUCCAAAUGC
Molecule: non-coding RNA, 123 nt
Filed under: Heterosigma akashiwo
Lineage: Eukaryota; Raphidophyceae; Chattonellales; Chattonellaceae
Source: RNAcentral